GCGGUUGUGGCGAAGUGGUUAACGCACCGGAUUGUGGCUCCGGGAUUCGUGGGUUCGAUUCCCAUCAGUCGCCCCA
RNAcentral lists this transfer RNA (76 nucleotides) under Bacillus cereus VD200. RNAcentral's name for it is "tRNA-His". It matches the Rfam family "tRNA". From Rfam's summary of the family: Transfer RNA (tRNA) molecules are approximately 80 nucleotides in length. Their secondary structure includes four short double-helical elements and three loops (D, anti-codon, and T loops). The record is from RNAcentral. Lineage: Bacteria; Bacillati; Bacillota; Bacilli; Caryophanales; Bacillaceae.